CCCGCUGACGAGCGGCGGACGGGUGAGUAAUGCAUAGGAAACUGCCCAGUAGUGGGGGAUAGCCCGGGGAAACCCGGAUUAAUACCGCAUACGCCCUUUGGGGGAAAGCAGGGGAUCUUCGGACCUUGCGCUAUUGGAUGUGCCUAUGUCGGAUUAGCUAGUUGGUGGGGUAAGAGCCUACCAAGGCGACCGAUUCCGUAGGCUGGUCUGAGAGGCAUGAUUCAGCCACAUCGGGACUGAGACACGGCCCGAACUCCUACGGGAGGCAGCAGUGGGGAAUAUUGGACAAUGGGGGCAACCCUGAUCCAGCCAUGCCGCGUGUGUGAAGAAGGCUUUCGGGUUGUAAAGCACUUUCAGUGGAGGAGGAAAACCCUGCGAUUAAUACUCGUAGAGCUUGACGUUACUCACAGAAGAAGCACCGGCUAACUCCGUGCCAGCAGCCGCCGGUAAUACGGAGGGUGCAAGCGUUAAUCGGAAAUUACUGGGCGUAAAGCGCGCGUAGGUGGUUUGGUAAGCGAGAUGUGAAAGCCCCGGGCUCAACCUGGGAACGGCAUUUCGAACUGUCAGGCUAGAGUAUGGUAGAGGAGUGUGGAAUUUCCUGUGUAGCGGUGAAAUGCGUAGAUAUAGGAAGGAACACCAGUGGCGAAGGCGGCACUCUGGACCAAUACUGACACUGAGGUGCGAAAGCGUGGGGAGCAAACAGGAUUAGAUACCCUGGUAGUCCACGCUGUAAACGAUGUCAACUAGCCGUUGGGACUCUUGAAGUCUUAGUGGCGCAGCUAACGCACUAAGUUGACCGCCUGGGGAGUACGGCCGCAAGGUUAAAACUCAAAUGAAUUGACGGGGGCCCGCACAAGCGGUGGAGCAUGUGGUUUAAUUCGACGCAACGCGAAGAACCUUACCUGGGCCUUGACAUGCAGAGAACUUUCCAGAGAUGGAUUGGUGCCUUCGGGAACUCUGACACAGGUGCUGCAUGGCCGUCGUCAGCUCGUGUCGUGAGAUGUUGGGUUAAGUCCCGUAACGAGCGCAACCCCUAUCCCUAGUUGCUAGCAGUUCGGCUGAGAACUCUAGGGAGACUGCCGGGUGACAAACCGGAGGAAGGUGGGGAAUGACGUCAGGUCAUUCAUGGCCCUUACGGCCAGGGCUACACACGUGCUACAAUGGUGCGUACAGAGGGCUGCAAACCCGCGAGGGGGAGCUAAUCUCACAAAACGCAUCGUAGUCCGGAUCGGAGUCUGCAACUCGACUCCGUGAAGUCGGAAUCGCUAGUAAUCGCGAAUCAGAAUGUCGCGGUGAAUACGUUCCCGGGCCUUGUACACACCGCCCGUCACACCAUGGGAGUGGAUUGCACCAGAAGUGGUUAGUCU
This 1367-nucleotide ribosomal RNA is filed under the name Marinobacter algicola. Its description in RNAcentral is "bacterial SSU rRNA". It matches the Rfam family "Bacterial small subunit ribosomal RNA", at positions 84 to 1436 of the family's 1533-position model. Lineage: Bacteria; Pseudomonadati; Pseudomonadota; Gammaproteobacteria; Pseudomonadales; Marinobacteraceae. The record is from RNAcentral.